RNAcentral lists this non-coding RNA (60 nucleotides) under human gut metagenome. The record is from RNAcentral.
GCCGAAACGGCCCUCCGGGGCUGUCUGCCGGGAAUGGCCGCCCGGUACUGAAGAUGGCAG